ACGGCCGGGGUCGCGGCUGUGGUCGCGGCAGGUUCAUGGCGCGGGCGGUACCGGCCUCUGCAGGUGACGGAGGCGCAGCGAGGGCCGCCCCGGCGUAGAGAUGAGGAAACUGAGGCAUAAAGAUACGUAAUCAGAACCAGAUAAUACCUUAAGUGGUAGAACCAGGACAAAAAUUUGGGUAGUCUGGCUCCAGGGUCCAUACCCAACACGAUUCUGGCCCAUCAACAAGUUCCAAAAGAUGAGUCGUGGAUAUUCAGAAAACAACAAUUUCCUAAACAAUAACAACCAAAUGGUGUUGGACAUGAUCCUUUACCCAUUAAUUGGAAUCCACCAGACCAUCAACUGGGAAUCAGUGGCAAGGCUUGUGCCUGGAUUAACACCC
This is a long non-coding RNA of Physeter macrocephalus (sperm whale), 382 nucleotides long. RefSeq lists it as uncharacterized. The transcript has 3 exons. NCBI's taxonomy places the organism in Eukaryota, Metazoa, Chordata, Mammalia, Artiodactyla, Physeteridae. The record is from RefSeq and is a predicted model, not a curated record.